GGCUGACCGCGUAGAAUAGCACGAGGAAUGAUGGAAUGCGGAAUGAUAUGCGAACGCAAAUUUCGAGACAUUUUUAUUAUAGAUUAAUCUAUCACAGAUUUAAUUGCCUCACUAUAUAUUUAUUAUUCGAAUCUUACAUGGCUUUUCAUACUUUGUGGAAUUAGGCAGUUUAUCAGAAGGUAGCAUUCCAGUCAUAUUUCAAUUCAUAUAAAUUCAUCUUUCGCACUUUCGUCAUUUAGUAUUUUUGUAUCAUUUUAUGAUUAAAAUGUACAUAGAUUGUUAUAAAACCAGUUUAAUUUGUCAGACGGUAGACAAAAUAUUAUAGAGGAUCAGAUUUGAGUUCCACUACCGCUACCGCUACAUGGCUUAGUACGCAUCUGAUUGGUUAAUCGAAUAUAUCAAACGCAUCGGAUUGGUUAAUCGAAUAUAUCAAACGCAUCUGAUUGGUUGAUAGUCCAUUAAUGGUAGUGGAAGUCAAAUCUCCUUAUCACUCCAGAUUCGGCCGAGUUGGGCAGUUUUCGACGAGAUUUCGGGGGUUUGGGGUUUUAAUGAGCUCGAGCCGCAAAACAGUUUUCAAGGAGAAGGACACACGAAGAGGCAGUCCAGGUAUUAAAAACAACGAAACUCAGAGGGUUUUGGCACAUAAGAGUAUGAAAAUUGGUAUGAAUCACUUUUUUGGAAAAAUUCUCGCUAAAAUCAUUCGCUGAAAAAAUUUGGGGGGAUGGCUCCGGCAACUACCUCAGAGGAUAUAGCCUGCGGUGCAGACGCAAUUUCCCGACCGCAACGCAAUUAAGGCAGACGCAAUU
Paramuricea clavata is the source of this 806-nucleotide non-coding RNA. The record is from the annotation of a GenBank genome assembly. Lineage: Eukaryota; Metazoa; Cnidaria; Anthozoa; Malacalcyonacea; Plexauridae.